UACGUAGGGUGCAAGCGUUGUCCGGAAUUAUUGGGCGUAAAGAGCUCGUAGGCGGUUUGUCGCGUCUGCUGUGAAAACUCGGGGCUUAACUCCGGGCCUGCAGUGGGUACGGGCAGACUAGAGUCCGGAAGAGGCGAGUGGAAUUCCUGGUGUAGCGGUGGAAUGCGCAGAUAUCAGGAGGAACACCAACGGCGAAGGCAGCUCGCUGGGACGGUACUGACGCUAAGGCGCGAAAGCGUGGGGAGCGAACAGG
RNAcentral lists this ribosomal RNA (253 nucleotides) under uncultured bacterium. RNAcentral describes it as "partial 16S ribosomal RNA". It matches the Rfam family "Bacterial small subunit ribosomal RNA", at positions 524 to 776 of the family's 1533-position model. The record is from RNAcentral.